AAACACCUGCAAAAGUUUCUUAAGCCUUUAAUCUCUGUCUGGUUCUGGUGCUCACAAUGAACUUUUCCACCAUAUUCAGUUUUUUUAGAUUUGAGAUGUUCCUGUACUGAUGUAACAAAAGUAAUAACAGGCUAGUUUAAUGAAUAUCACUGUCCAAUCACAUCACAUGUCUGAAUCUCAUAAAUAUCAACCAAAGUCAGGUUAACCCUAACCCUUUUUUACUUUUAUUGCACACAUGAGACUAAAGUUAUUAGUUUCAGCCAGUUGUGGUGGCGUCUCGGCCUCAGUCUAAAAGUUUUACACGUCUCCAGAUGCAGCUGUGUUUGCUUAGCUUAAAGCCCCAAAGCUUCAUAAUGCUUCAUCCACUCAUCACCACUCGCUAGCUACUGUCAGCCGAUCUGACUGUGUUUGAGUCUGAGACUAUUAUUUUGUCCCCCAGAUGAGUCAGCUGGGGAAGAGGAAGGACGGGCGUCACAGCAGCUGGAUUAACUACAAACUGGUGAUCCAGGGACUCCAGAAGAAAUAAAAAGUGAAAGCAGAGCACAUGAAGAGACUGUUCCCCCCUCAGUCUCAACUCCCCUGGAUCCCUCCUGCCUACCUGCCACCGAUCCAUCGUUCUCUUCCUUCCAUCCAUCACCAUGAUCCCUCCCCUCAACUCUCCAUCUCUCACCUUUCCAUUACCUCAUUCAUCACUCUGAUCCCA
Long non-coding RNA from Micropterus dolomieu (smallmouth bass), 703 nucleotides. RefSeq lists it as uncharacterized. NCBI's taxonomy places the organism in Eukaryota, Metazoa, Chordata, Actinopteri, Centrarchiformes, Centrarchidae. The transcript has 2 exons. The record is from RefSeq and is a predicted model, not a curated record.